RNAcentral lists this ribosomal RNA (468 nucleotides) under uncultured bacterium. Its description in RNAcentral is "partial 16S ribosomal RNA". It matches the Rfam family "Bacterial small subunit ribosomal RNA", at positions 28 to 507 of the family's 1533-position model. The record is from RNAcentral.
GACGAACGCUGGCGGCGUGCUUAACACAUGCAAGUCGAACGGUGAAGCUCCAGCUUGCUGGAGUGGAUCAGUGGCGAACGGGUGAGUAACACGUGAGCAACCUGCCCCUGACUCUGGAAUAAGCGCUGGAAACGGCGUCUAAUACUGGAUACGAGAAGAGUCCGCAUGGGCACUUUCUGGAAAGUUUUUCGGUUGGGGAUGGGCUGGCGGCCUAUCAGCUUGUUGGUGAGGUAAUGGCUCACCAAGGCGACGACGGGUAGCCGGCCUGAGAGGGCGACCGGCCACACUGGGACUGAGACACGGCCCAGACUCCUACGGGAGGCAGCAGUGGGGAAUAUUGCACAAUGGGCGAAAGCCUGAUGCAGCGACGCCGCGUGAGGGAUGACGGCCUUCGGGUUGUAAACCUCUUUCAGCAGGGAAGAAGCGAAAGUGACGGUACCUGCAGAAGAAGCACCGGCUAACUACGUG